Molecule: transfer RNA, 85 nt
Filed under: Tsuneonella deserti
Lineage: Bacteria; Pseudomonadati; Pseudomonadota; Alphaproteobacteria; Sphingomonadales; Erythrobacteraceae
Description: tRNA-Arg
Source: RNAcentral
GUGGUAUUGGGCGGAACCCUACCUCUUUGCGAUGGGGGUGUUGAAGGCGGCCGCCUUCCCGAUGUUCGUGCUCGCGGUGCCAUAC